RNAcentral lists this ribosomal RNA (2398 nucleotides) under Eubacteriales bacterium OttesenSCG-928-N14. RNAcentral's name for it is "partial 23S ribosomal RNA". It matches the Rfam family "Bacterial large subunit ribosomal RNA", at positions 214 to 2447 of the family's 2925-position model. The record is from RNAcentral. Lineage: Bacteria; Bacillati; Bacillota; Clostridia; Eubacteriales.
AGGAAGAGAAAGAAACAUCGAUUCCCAUAGUAGCGGCGAGCGAAAUGGGAUUAGCCCAAACCGUGUGUCUUCGGACAUGCGGGGUUGUGGACCGGCGUAAUUGAGGAGCAUGUUAAUCGAACACCUCUGGAUAAGAGGGGCCGUAGAGGGUGAUAGCCCCGUAGGUGAAAACAUGCGACGCAUGGCCGGUAUCCAGAGUACCACGGGACACGAGGAAUCCCGUGGGAAGCUGGGGGGACCACCCCCCAAGGCUAAAUACUACCUGGUGACCGAUAGUGAAAUAGUACCGUGAGGGAAAGGUGAAAAGAACCCCGGAAGGGGAGUGAAAAAGAACCUGAAACCCUAUGCCUACAAGCAGAGGAAGCACGUUAACGUGUGACUUCGUACUUUUUGUAGAACGGGCCGGCGAGUUACGCUGUGCAGCGAGGUUAAGGUGUAGAGCACCGGAGCCGUAGGGAAACCGAGUCUGAAUAGGGCGCCAUAGUUGCAUUGCGUAGACCCGAAACCGGGUGACCUAUCCAUGGACAGGGUGAAGGUGAGGUAAAGCUCACUGGAGGCCCGAACCACACGUCUGUUGAAAAAGGCGGGGAUGAGCUGUGGAUAGCGGAGAAAUUCCAAACGAACCCGGAGAUAGCUGGUUCUCCUCGAAAUAGCUUUAGGGCUAGCCUCGGUUAAGAGGUACAUGGGGGUAGAGCACUGAAUGGGCUAGGGGGCCUCAAAGCUUACCGAACCUUAUCAAACUCCGAAUACCAUGUUUACCGUUUACCGGGAGUCAGACUACGGGAGAUAAGUUUCGUGGUCGAAAGGGAAACAGCCCAGACCAUCGGCUAAGGUCCCAAAGUGCAGGUUAAGUGGAAAAGGAUGUGUGAUUGCACAGACAACCAGGAUGUUGGCUUAGAAGCAGCCAUUCAUUGAAAGAGUGCGUAAUAGCUCACUGGUCGAGUGGUCGCGCGCCGAAAAUUUACCGGGGCUAAACCUGCCACCGAAGCCAUGGGAUUGUAUACUUUCUUCAAUAUUUCUUUGAAAAAGGCGAUUCAAUUUUUGCCGCAAGAAGCGGCAAAUGCCUGCGGCGUGGGCCAUUUAUGGCCAUGACAUACAUAGUAUGUUGCCGCUUGUUGCGGCCAAAUUUGUUUCGAUAAAGCUGCACGAUAGAACAAAUGAGGAAAUAUUGAUGAAAGUAUACAAUCGGUAGAGGAGCAUCGUGUGCGGGCUGAAGCAAUACCGUAAGGAGUUGUGGACUGCACAGGAGAGAGAAUGCCGGCAUGAGUAGCGAGAGCAAAGUGAGAAUCUUUGCCGUCGAAAGCCCAAGGUUUCCUGGGGAAGGGUCGUCCCCCCAGGGUAAGUCGGGACCUAAGCCGAGGACGAAAGUCGUAGGCGAUGGACAACAGGUUGAUAUUCCUGUACCACCCGAAGGCGAUUGAGGAUGCAGUGACACAGUAGGAUAGGCGGAGCGGGUUGAUGGUAGAGCCCGUCCAAGCGUGCAAGGGUGGUGUGUAGUGAAGUACGCACACCAUAAAGCCUGAGCCGUGAUGGGGACAGAAAAUAAGUAUGGAAGCCGCUGAAUUCACACUGGCAAGAAAAGCUGCUAACGAGCCUUAAGGUGCCCGUACCGCAAACCGACACAGGUGGGCGAGGAGAGAAUCCUAAGACGAGCGGGAGAACCAUUGUUAAGGAACUCGGCAAAAUGACCCCGUAACUUCGGGAGAAGGGGUGCCUCUUCGGAGGCCGCAGAGAAUAGGCCCAAGCGACUGUUUAUCAAAAACACAGGUCUGUGCUAAGUUGAGAAACGAUGUAUACAGGCUGACGCCUGCCCAGUGCCGGAAGGUCAAGGGGAAGUGUUAGGGGUAACCCGAAGCACGGAUCUUAAGCCCCGGUGAACGGCGGCCGUAACUAUAACGGUCCUAAGGUAGCGAAAUUCCUUGUCGGGUAAGUUCCGACCCGCACGAAUGGCGUAACGAUUUGGGCACUGUCUCAACAAUGGACCCGGCGAAAUUGUAGUAUGCGUGAAGAUGCGCAUUACCCGCGAUAGGACGGAAAGACCCCGUAGAGCUUUACUGUAGCUUGGUAUUGGACUUUGGUAAUAUAUGUACAGCAUAGGUGGGAGGCUUGGAAACCAGCACGCCAGUGUUGGUGGAGCCGCCGUUGGGAUACCACUCUUGUAUUGCUGGAGUUCUAACGGCACGCGGUUAUCCCGGUGCCGGACAGUGCCAGGUGGGCAGUUUGACUGGGGCGGUCGCCUCCUAAAGAGUAACGGAGGCGCCCAAAGGUUCCCUCAGAAUGGUUGGAAAUCAUUUGUAGAGUGUAAAGGCAGAAGGGAGCCUGACAGUGAGAGAGACAUCUCGAACUGGGACGAAAGUCGGGCUUAGUGAUCCGGCGGCAUUGAGUGGGUUAGCCGUCG